RNAcentral lists this ribosomal RNA (1020 nucleotides) under Setomelanomma holmii. Its description in RNAcentral is "SSU rRNA". It matches the Rfam family "Eukaryotic small subunit ribosomal RNA", at positions 75 to 1105 of the family's 1831-position model. Lineage: Eukaryota; Fungi; Ascomycota; Dothideomycetes; Pleosporales; Phaeosphaeriaceae. The record is from RNAcentral.
UAUACCGUGAAACUGCGAAUGGCUCAUUAAAUCAGUUAUCGUUUAUUUGAUAGUACCUUACUACUUGGAUAACCGUGGUAAUUCUAGAGCUAAUACAUGCUGAAAACCCCAACUUCGGGAGGGGUGUAUUUAUUAGAUAAAAAACCAAUGCCCUUCGGGGCUUCUUGGUGAUUCAUGAUAACUUUACGGAUCGCAUGGCCUUGCGCCGGCGACGGUUCAUUCAAAUUUCUGCCCUAUCAACUUUCGAUGGUAAGGUAUUGGCUUACCAUGGUUUCAACGGGUAACGGGGAAUUAGGGUUCGAUUCCGGAGAGGGAGCCUGAGAAACGGCUACCACAUCCAAGGAAGGCAGCAGGCGCGCAAAUUACCCAAUCCCGACACGGGGAGGUAGUGACAAUAAAUACUGAUACAGGGCUCUUUUGGGUCUUGUAAUUGGAAUGAGUACAAUUUAAACCUCUUAACGAGGAACAAUUGGAGGGCAAGUCUGGUGCCAGCAGCCGCGGUAAUUCCAGCUCCAAUAGCGUAUAUUAAAGUUGUUGCAGUUAAAAAGCUCGUAGUUGAAACUUGGGUCUGGCUGGCAGGUCCGCCUCACCGCGUGUACUUGUCCGGCCGGGCCUUCCUUCUGGAGAACCUCAUGCUCUUCACUGGGCGUGUUGGGGACCAGGACUUUUACUUUGAAAAAAUUAGAGUGUUCAAAGCAGGCCUUUGCUCGAAUACGUUAGCAUGGAAUAAUAGAAUAGGACGUGCGGUCCUAUUUUGUUGGUUUCUAGGACCGCCGUAAUGAUUAAUAGGGACAGUCGGGGGCAUCAGUAUUCAAUUGUCAGAGGUGAAAUUCUUGGAUUUAUUGAAGACUAACUACUGCGAAAGCAUUUGCCAAGGAUGUUUUCAUUAAUCAGUGAACGAAAGUUAGGGGAUCGAAGACGAUCAGAUACCGUCGUAGUCUUAACCGUAAACUAUGCCGACUAGGGAUCGGGCGAUGUUCUUUUUCUGACUCGCUCGGCACCUUACGAGAAAUCAAAGUU